RNAcentral lists this non-coding RNA (28 nucleotides) under Mus musculus (house mouse). Lineage: Eukaryota; Metazoa; Chordata; Mammalia; Rodentia; Muridae. The record is from RNAcentral.
UCGUAGAUUCCAGGAGUUUCCAAUGUUC